AUGGAGCCGGCGGCGAGGAAGUGGCACGGGAAGGGGCUCCUGACGCGGGCGCUGCUCCUCGGCGUCGCCGCGCUCGCGCUCCGCCUGCUGUACGGGGCGUUCGUGACCGUGGGCGGCGGGUGGGCGCCCGACCCGGCCGUGCCGUCCACCGCGGUGGUCGGGAGGAGGACCCACGCGCAGGCCGCGGCGGCCUCGGGGUCGCCGGAGGCGUGGCGCAGCCACGGGUGGCGCGAGGCGGUGGAGUUCCACGCCGGGGUGCUCGGGCGGCACCUCGCCGACGGCCUCGUCGGGCCGUCCUCCCGCGCCGUGUGCCUCGGCGGGGCCCAGCAGGCGCUCGCGCUGCGGGAGCUCGGCGUGGCCGGCGCCGUCGCCGUCGCGAGGAGGCGCUCCCCGCCGCUCGCCGUCGCCGGUGACGACCGCCGGCUCCCGUUCGAGUCCUCCUCCGUGGACUUCGUCUUCGCCGGCCGCGCCCUCGACUCGUCCAGGCGCCCGGCCGACCUCGCCGGCGAGGCCGCGCGGAUCUUGAGGCCGGAGGGCCAUCUCGUCGUGCUCACCUCCAGCGCCGGCGACGCCUACAGCCUCCGCUCGCUUCAGGCGCUCUUGCCGUCGCUGCGGUUGCUCCGAUCUCGCGAGAUCAACAGCCCCGACGCGUCCACCCUCCGGGAACUGGUCUUCCAGAAGCUUCAGCCUACUACGGCGUCCACCUCCACUGAAAAUUCAGCGAGCAACUGCACAAUUGGGGAUCACAAGAUGCAGCUCCUGACGCACGCCGAGCCGCUGAUCGAGGAAGAGCCGCUGAAGCCAUGGCUGACGCUGAAGCGAAACAUCCAGAACAUCAAGUACCUUCCAGAGCUUGCCGACAUCAGCUUCAAGCGCCGGUAUGUGUACGUUGAUCUCGGCUCGCGCAGCUACGGAUCCAGCAUCGGCAGCUGGUUCCGGAAGCAGUACCCAAAGCAGAACCACACCUUCGAGGUGUUCGCCAUCGAGGCCGACCCGACGUUCCACCCUGAUUACGCCACAAGGAAGGGGGUCACAUUGCUCCCGUACGCCGCCUGGGUCAAGAAUGACACGCUCAGCUUCGAGAUCAAUGGCGACCCCGGAAAGGAGGACGAGGCCAAGGCCAGUGGCCGUGGCAUGGGGCGCAUCCGCCCCACGGCCGGUAAGAAGAUGUCCGGCAAGGUGCGCAGUGUGCAGGCGUUUGAUUUCGCCGAGUGGCUGAAGCAGACGGUGUCGGAGCAGGACUACGUGGUGAUGAAGAUGGAUGUGGAGGGGACUGAGUUUGACUUGAUCCCGAGGCUCUUCGACACGGGCGCGAUCUGCUUGGUCGACGAGGUGUUCCUCGAGUGCCAUUACAACCGGUGGCAAAGGUGCUGCCCUGGCGAGCGGUCGCCUAAGUAUCAGAACACAUACGAGGAGUGCCUCGAGCUCUUCAGCUCGCUCCGGGAGAGCGGCGUUCUUGUGCAUCAGUGGUUUUGA
RNAcentral lists this ribosomal RNA (1476 nucleotides) under Triticum aestivum (bread wheat). RNAcentral's name for it is "partial small subunit ribosomal RNA". Lineage: Eukaryota; Viridiplantae; Streptophyta; Magnoliopsida; Poales; Poaceae. The record is from RNAcentral.